This 253-nucleotide ribosomal RNA is filed under the name uncultured bacterium. RNAcentral describes it as "partial 16S ribosomal RNA". It matches the Rfam family "Bacterial small subunit ribosomal RNA", at positions 524 to 776 of the family's 1533-position model. The record is from RNAcentral.
UACGUAUGGUGCGAACGUUGUUCGGAAUCACUGGGCAUAAAGAGCACGUAGGCGGUUGAGCAAGUCCAUUGUGAAAUCCCCCGGCCUAACCGGGGAACUGCAUUGGAUACUACUUGACUUGAGUGCAGGAGGGGAGAGUGGAAUUCCAGGUGGAGCGGUGAAAUGCGCAGAUAUCAGGAAGAACACCCAUGGCGAAAGCAGCUCUCUGGGACGGUACUGACGCUGAGACGCGAAAGCGUGGGGAGCGAACAGG